RNAcentral lists this RNase P RNA (405 nucleotides) under Hansschlegelia beijingensis. RNAcentral's name for it is "Bacterial RNase P class A". It matches the Rfam family "Bacterial RNase P class A". Rfam says of the family: Ribonuclease P (RNase P) is a ubiquitous endoribonuclease, found in archaea, bacteria and eukarya as well as chloroplasts and mitochondria. Lineage: Bacteria; Pseudomonadati; Pseudomonadota; Alphaproteobacteria; Hyphomicrobiales; Methylopilaceae. The record is from Rfam by way of RNAcentral.
CCAGCCGGCCGGACGGCCGCUCCGGUUCACGCCGGGGAGGAAAGUCCGGGCUCCACGGAAGCACGGCGCCGGAUAACGUCCGGCGGGGGCGACCCCAGGGAAAGUGCCACAGAAAGCAAACCGCCGGCGGCCUCGGCCGCAGGCAAGGGUGAAAGGGUGCGGUAAGAGCGCACCGCGCGACCGGUAACGGGAGCGGCAUGGCAAACCCCGCCGGGAGCAAGACCGAAUAGGGGCGACACGCGACAGCGCUUCGGCGCGGCCGCAACCUGCUUCCGGGCCGUCGCCCGGGUUGGUCGCUAGAGGCGUCCGGCGACGGACGUCCGAGAGGAAUGGUCGUCACGCGCGCGUUGCGGGGAAACUCGUCCGCGCGCCAUACAGAACCCGGCUUACAGGCCGGCUGGCGUU